Molecule: long non-coding RNA, 622 nt
Organism: Juglans microcarpa x Juglans regia
Lineage: Eukaryota; Viridiplantae; Streptophyta; Magnoliopsida; Fagales; Juglandaceae
Exons: 2
Source: RefSeq, a predicted model, not a curated record
UGCCCCUCUCCAAAAUCGAAAGCUUGCCAUGCCCCACCAUUUUUUUCGAUGCCUCCUCCAUCAGCUAUGGCUGCAGCUGACGUAAAUAGAAGAGAUCUUUUCUUUACCAUCUUAACAACCAACACAACUUCGAUUUUAGGGUCUUCUCUCUCUCUUAAUUCAACCCAACUCUCUCUCUCUCUCUCUCUCAAUUCAGCCCCAUUCUGGCAAGUGGCAUGUAUAGGUUCUCCCCGACCCUUCAUUGUAUCCAAUUAGUUCAUCCUUUUAAACGAAUGCAGGGUUGGCAAAUUCUAUUUUGUUGAGCCAAAACAAGCAAUAACAGCAAGAAUAAUUUUCACCAUGUAUGCUUAUUUGUGAGUCUCGAAUCAGUGUCUUAGAGAGGAAACUCGUUUCAAUGAAAGCUUCUUCAAGUAUCAUAAAUUUCCCUAUUAUUAUUCCGCACACUGCAGGAUGAAUAGAUUUGUUCUUUUAGGAUCGAUUUCUGAAGACGGGAAGGCAAAAUGGGCUUAAGGUUUCUCUUUGGUGGGAUGGAUGGAGGCUUGAAGACAAAAUGGAAAAAAGAAGACGGGAAGACGAAAUACCUGGAGGCUUGAAGAUGAAAUUGGUUCGAAGACGGGAAGAC